GGGCACGACACCGGAGAGGGAGCCUGAGAAACGGCUACCACANNCAAGGAUGGCAGCAGGCGCGCAAAUUACCCAAUCCCGACACGGGGAGGUAGUGACAAUAAAUAACAAUACGGGGUUCUUUCGGAUCUCGUAAUUGGAAUGAGUACAAUUUAAAUCUCUUAACGAGGAACAAUUGGAGGGCAAGUCUGGUGCCAGCAGCCGCGGUAAUUCCAGCUCCAAUAGCGUAUAUUAAAGUUGUUGCAGUUAAAAAGCUCGUAGUUGAAUUUCGGGGUUAGUAGGUUGGUCAUGCCUCUGGUAUGUACUGGUCUCACUGAUUCCUCCUUCCUGAUGAACCGUAAUGCCAUUAAUUUGGUGUUGCGGGGAAUUUGGACUGUUACUUUGAAAAAAUUAGAGUGUUUAAAGCAAGCUAACGCUUGAAUACAUUAGCAUGGAAUAAUGAAAUAGGACGUUCGAUCCUAUUUUGUUGGUUUCUAGGAUUGACGUAAUGAUUAAUAGGGAUAGUUGGGGGCAUUAGUAUUCAAUUGUCAGAGGUGAAAUUCUUGGAUUUAUUGAAGACUAACUACUGCGAAAGCAUUUGCCAAGGAUGUUUUCAUUAAUCAAGAACGAAAGUUAGGGGAUCGAAGACGAUCAGAUACCGUCGUAGUCUUAACCAUAAACUAUGCCGACUAGGGAUCGGAUGAUGUUAAUUUUUUAAUGACUCAUUCGGCGCCUUACGGGAAACCAAAGUGUUUGGGUUC
RNAcentral lists this ribosomal RNA (740 nucleotides) under uncultured Glomeromycotina. RNAcentral describes it as "SSU rRNA". It matches the Rfam family "Eukaryotic small subunit ribosomal RNA", at positions 373 to 1114 of the family's 1831-position model. The record is from RNAcentral. Lineage: Eukaryota; Fungi; Glomeromycota.